This 468-nucleotide ribosomal RNA is filed under the name uncultured bacterium. Its description in RNAcentral is "partial 16S ribosomal RNA". It matches the Rfam family "Bacterial small subunit ribosomal RNA", at positions 28 to 507 of the family's 1533-position model. The record is from RNAcentral.
GACGAACGCUGGCGGCGUGCUUAACACAUGCAAGUCGAACGGAAAGGCCCUGCUUUUGUGGGGUGCUCGAGUGGCGAACGGGUGAGUAACACGUGAGUAACCUGCCCUUGACUUUGGGAUAACUUCAGGAAACUGGGGCUAAUACCGGAUAGGAGCUCCUGCUGCAUGGUGGGGGUUGGAAAGUUUCGGCGGUUGGGGAUGGACUCGCGGCUUAUCAGCUUGUUGGUGGGGUAGUGGCUUACCAAGGCUUCGACGGGUAGCCGGCCUGAGAGGGUGACCGGCCACAUGGGGACUGAGAGACGGCCCAGACGCCUACGGGAGGCAGCAGGGGGGAAUAUGGCACAAUGGGCGGAAGCCUGAUGCAGCAACGCCGCGUGCGGGAUGACGGCCUUCGGGUGGUAAACCGCUUUCGCCUGUGACGAAGCGUGAGUGACGGUAAUGGGUAAAGAAGCACCGGCUAACUACGUG